Molecule: ribosomal RNA, 62 nt
Filed under: Fusarium sp.
Lineage: Eukaryota; Fungi; Ascomycota; Sordariomycetes; Hypocreales; Nectriaceae
Description: partial 28S ribosomal RNA
Source: RNAcentral
UGUUGACCUCGGAUCAGGUAGGAAUACCCGCUGAACUUAAGCAUAUCAAUAAGGCGGAGGAA